AUUAUUCUUCGGAAGAAAAACCACUCAGAAACGUUUCCCCGAGAUAAAAAGCACAAAACUGCAAAAACAUGAGGCCGAUCUGGUCGUUGUCUUGUUUAAGUGAGAGAGCGUCGGGGAUCAGUUAAGUGCCCCUCGUAAUCCCUCAAUCGAGAUAGCCAGUUAUGUCUUCAAUGGAAGAAACACCUUCCCCUCCAAAGCGUCGAUUGUUGUGCGCCACCUAUUUCGACGCCCUCUGUUCCAGUGCAUCAGAUGUAGCAGUAUUAUAGACUUGGGUCACUUGAUAACUGUUCUGGGAAAUGGACUUCUCUGGUUGAUUGCUUGGCUUUGAAGACGAAGCGGUCAUCUGAAGUGCAGGAAAUUUUGGAAACUCGGGAGAAAGGCAAGUCUCACGUCUGGACUUUUCGAACUCCAGAAGAAGCAUCGGUUAACUAGAAAGAACAAUAUGGAGAUUCAGAUGAAGUGGAAUGACUGAGAUUUAGUCCAGCAUUCGUCUAACUUUUCCCCACAAUCGGCGAGAGGUCUGCGCGUACAAUAUCAUUUUCCUGUAGAAUUUUGUUUAUUUUUGUUAGGAAGCUCAAAUGAUUAAUUUGAAGACACACAAACGGGAAGCAUAUAAACAUUUUUGAUCUUUGGUAGCAAUAAUAUCAAAUAUUUUUGCAGUA
Pyrus x bretschneideri (Chinese white pear) is the source of this 662-nucleotide long non-coding RNA. RefSeq lists it as uncharacterized. NCBI's taxonomy places the organism in Eukaryota, Viridiplantae, Streptophyta, Magnoliopsida, Rosales, Rosaceae. The record is from RefSeq and is a predicted model, not a curated record. The transcript has 3 exons.